RNAcentral lists this long non-coding RNA (750 nucleotides) under Anser cygnoides (Swan goose). RNAcentral's name for it is "lncRNA (ENSACDG00005005568.1)". Lineage: Eukaryota; Metazoa; Chordata; Aves; Anseriformes; Anatidae. The record is from RNAcentral.
AAAAUUCAUACAAAGUCUUUGCACAGAGCAUGUAAGUCAACGUUUAUCCUAAAAGCUUUGAUAGAUGUUUCUCUCUAAUCAAUUUAUUUUCUCUUAGAUAUUUAAUAAAGACCAUGAAUGAAAAUAAAUAAAUCCCCCCACUUUGUCAAGCCAAAGUCUGCAAAGAUUCUUACAUUGACAAACAUUUGCUGCAACAUCGCUGCACCUCCAAGAACAAAAUGAGCUCCUUGUUUCCUCUACCCACCCUAUAUAUCUUAAUACCUAUAAUUUAGAAGGUGAAAAUGUAAUUCAGAACAACUGUAUCUUCUCUGCAGAAUCCACAAAAUGGCUAUUGCAUUGCAGCAAAUUCACUGGUAUCUGAGAUGAAAUGUCGUAAAUCAAGGGUCAGAAGAAACAAAUAACAUCCAGUCAAGUUGAAGGCAGCUUGGGAUAUCAUAAAAUGUCCAGAUGGAAGCAAAACCUGGUUGUCUGGAAAGCAAAGGACACUCUGUAUCGGUUAUGGAAGUGGCAGUGCACUGAGCAAGUCUCUGGGCUAACACCAGAUAGUACUAAGUCUGUACUCCAACCAUCGGCAGGAGAGAAGUAUCCCGCAGACCAUCACUUGCAUCCAUUCAACUUCAUUUUAAAGCUAUCCUGCCUAUUUUUCUGUGGAAAACUUUUAAAGGGAGACAUUUUAAAUCCGGAUGAAAUCAACUGAAGGUGAAAAGAAAGUGAGCUUGUGGGUAAUAAAGGUGAGCAAUAAAGUGGGCA